UACGAAGGGGGCUAGCGUUGUUCGGAAUCACUGGGCGUAAAGGGCGCGUAGGUGGCCCGGUCAGUCUUUGGUGAAAGCGCGGGGCUCAACCCUGCGUCGGCCAGGGAUACUGCCGCGGCUCGAGCACUGUAGAGGCAGGCGGAAUUCCGGGUGCAGCGGUGGAAUGCGUAGAGAUCCGGAAGAACACCGGUGGCGAAGGCGGCCUGCUGGGCAGUUUAGCUGACACUGAGGCGCGACAGCGUGGGGAGCAAACAGG
This 256-nucleotide ribosomal RNA is filed under the name uncultured bacterium. RNAcentral describes it as "partial 16S ribosomal RNA". It matches the Rfam family "Bacterial small subunit ribosomal RNA", at positions 524 to 776 of the family's 1533-position model. The record is from RNAcentral.